CUGAUCACAUUGUCCUUGGAACUAAUUUCAUCGAACAAACGGAGCUGUCAAAUCCAUGUACCCCUGCCCAACCCGAAAUAUAUUCAGUUUGCUUUCAGAGCUCGUCCAGAGCACAACUCGUUUCGUAACGAAAAAUGUAAAAAUUUCCAAAUUAUUGUGUAAUUGAGUUUCAUGCGUUUUGCUAACUCAAAUACUCGCCAUUGCUUUUUGUAAGUGAAACCAAUGGCACGGAUUGCAAAGCAACCGCUUUACACGAAAAAUGAAGAACGAGCAGUAAGAUUCCUUUAACAUUCCUUUAAUUUAAAAAGGACCAACGGUGCAGCUCCUGCUAAAUGAUUAGUUUGUAUCUAAUCUAAAAUACAAAUAUACAAAUCGACUUAACACUACAUGCUUAUAUGUAUACACUUGUACACGAAUCUACAAAUAUAAUAUUGUUAAAUCU
This 442-nucleotide long non-coding RNA is filed under the name Drosophila melanogaster (fruit fly). RNAcentral describes it as "long non-coding RNA:CR32660 (Dmel_CR32660)". The record is from RNAcentral. Lineage: Eukaryota; Metazoa; Arthropoda; Insecta; Diptera; Drosophilidae.